UUAACGUCUGACGAAUUCUGAAUGGGAAUGGUUGUGCGCUCUAUGUGCUAUGAAAUCAUAAGCGUAUAGCUUUUCCCAUUUAGCGUUCGUUCAUCAUCAU
RNAcentral lists this microRNA precursor (100 nucleotides) under Anopheles darlingi. Its description in RNAcentral is "mir-965 microRNA precursor family". The stretch from base 16 to 85 matches the Rfam family "mir-965 microRNA precursor family". Lineage: Eukaryota; Metazoa; Arthropoda; Insecta; Diptera; Culicidae. The record is from RNAcentral.